CAGCCCUCGAUAAAUCUUGAAGGCGAGUAUCAGAGGAAGCUCACUUAGUUGCAGCUGAAACUAGUAGCUGCCUUGGAUCAUUAUCCUUUCCAAGAAUCCUGGGUUACGGUUUUGAAGGCUGUAUGUACAGAGCCCCGUAUCAGUUCUAAAUGGCUUUUUCACUGUUAAGCAGAGAUUCUCAGUCCCUUGCAAACUAAGCUUCGAUCAUAAAAUGGUGGAGGCACGCUCUAAUUAACACCAUACCAAGUGGAUGGGCUGAGAGCAUCACCUUAACACUGAAACCUUGCUCCACCUCUGCCAUAUUGUAAUUGGAGGCCGAGUCAUUAUUUAGCAAUGAUGGGGGACCUGGCACACAUGAAUGUGAGAUACAAUAACCACUUCAAUCAGUCGAAAUGGUUAUGUUGCCUACAGAACUACUUUGUGUUUAGUUGCCCAGAAGAGAUUAGUUGCCCACUAACCGCUGAAUGGCAGUGAACUAAAAUCUGAAUAGGAAAACUAAUUAAAAUAGGCAAACUGUGCCUAUAAGAUAGUUGGAGAAUUUCUCCUGAUUAGCUGCUUUUCAAUUUAGAGUUUAGAGAAUAAACCCACCUAAAUCAUCAGUGUUACUGUGCAGUGGCAUAUUCAUUCAUCAUUCAAAAAUUAAUUUAGGAAAACACUCCAAGCACCUUAAAUACUCCAGAG
Molecule: non-coding RNA, 681 nt
Organism: Pelobates cultripes (western spadefoot toad)
Lineage: Eukaryota; Metazoa; Chordata; Amphibia; Anura; Pelobatidae
Source: the annotation of a GenBank genome assembly